GUGCCAGCCGCCGCGGUAAUACGUAGGGGCCGAGCGUUGUCCGGAAUCAUUGGGCGUAAAGAGCGUGUAGGCGGCCCUCUAAGUCCUGCGUGAAAUCCUGCGGCUCAACCGCAGGCGGUCGUGGGAAACUGGGGGGCUCGAGUGCGGGAGAGGAGAGUGGAAUUCCCGGUGUAGCGGUGAAAUGCGCAGAUAUCGGGAAGAACACCCGUGGCGAAGGCGGCUCUCUGGAACGCAACUGACGCUGAGACGCGAAAGCGUGGGGAGCAAACAGGAUUAGAUACCCCGGUAGUCC
This 292-nucleotide ribosomal RNA is filed under the name uncultured bacterium. Its description in RNAcentral is "partial 16S ribosomal RNA". It matches the Rfam family "Bacterial small subunit ribosomal RNA", at positions 505 to 796 of the family's 1533-position model. The record is from RNAcentral.